Molecule: ribosomal RNA, 440 nt
Filed under: uncultured bacterium
Lineage: Bacteria
Description: partial 16S ribosomal RNA
Rfam family: Bacterial small subunit ribosomal RNA
Source: RNAcentral
CCUACGGGAGGCAGCAGUGGGGAAUAUUGCUCAAUGGGCGAAACCCUGAUCCAGCGACGCCGCGUGAGUGAAGAAGUAUUUCGGUACGUAAAGCUCUAUCAGCAGGGAAGAAAAUGACGGUACCUGACUAAGAAGCCCCGGCUAACUACGUGCCAGCAGCCGCGGUAAUACGUAGGGGGCAAGCGUUAUCCGGAUUUACUGGGUGUAAAGGGAGCGUAGACGGCAGCGCAAGUCUGGAGGGAAAUCCCAUGGCUUAACCAUGGAACUGCGUUGGAAACUGUGCAGCUAGAGUGCAGGAGAGGUAAGCGGAAUUCCUAGUGUAGCGGUGAAAUGCGUAGAUAUUAGGAGGAACACCAGUGGCGAAGGCGGCUUACUGGACUGUAACUGACGUUGAGGCUCGAAAGCGUGGGGAGCAAACAGGAUUAGAUACCCUUGUAGUC